RNAcentral lists this ribosomal RNA (253 nucleotides) under uncultured Armatimonadota bacterium. Its description in RNAcentral is "uncultured Armatimonadetes bacterium partial 16S ribosomal RNA". It matches the Rfam family "Bacterial small subunit ribosomal RNA", at positions 524 to 776 of the family's 1533-position model. The record is from RNAcentral. Lineage: Bacteria; Bacillati; Armatimonadota.
UACGGAGGGGGCGAGCGUUGUCCGAAGUUACUGGGCGUAAAGCGCGCGUAGGCGGGUUGGCAAGUCCGCUGUGAAAGCCCGGCGCUUAACGCCGGAGGGUCGGUGGAUACUGCCAGUCUUGAAGGUGCUAGGGGAAGAUGGAAUUACCAGUGUAGCGGUGAAAUGCGUAGAUAUUGGUAGGAACACCAGUGGCGAAGGCGGUCUUCUGGAGCACUCUUGACGCUGAGGCGCGAAAGCUGGGGGAGCGAACGGG